CCGGCAAUUACUGCUAGUUCGAAUCUUGCCAGGCUCAAGGUUGACUCAGCCUUCCAUCCUUUCUAAGUUUACAGGAGGAAAAUGGAAAGCGUUCUGAUGAGUGGAUUUGCCAAGCUAUGAGAGGAAAGAAAAUUAUUUCAUUGUCACUUAGUGUGUCAACCUCAACACCUUUAAGAUGGCUGGAGUUCAAUUUCCAGAAUUCCCUAGCCAGCUACUAUUGCAGCUUUCAUUGUACGGCCUCUUUCUGGAAUCAAAGCACUACUACCGCUUGUUUGUCACUCAGAGAAUGGAACAAGUGACAUGAGGUCAUUGAAGGUGGUCUUCCUUCAAUUAGGUCACAUACACACUGAAGAUUAAUUGAAUACUCAUCCUCCUUCCCCGGGGAACCUAGAGAAGUCUAGCUGCAUAAAAUGUGUUUGGAUUCUACAAAGGUAGUUUACGAUGCAGCAUAUUACCCCCAACAAUCAGCAUUGUCAUUUUACCAAUCUUGGAAAGAAGGAAGCCUGAGUCAACCUUGAGACCCAUCAGGAUCAAACUCCAGGCUGUGGGCAGAGUUUUCCUGCAAUACUGCAUACUAACCUGUGAUGACUUCCCCAGACAAUAGUUCGAACCAUAAAGAGCCAGACUCAGGGGUAUGUGGAGGAAUACUCAGAGAUUGCCAGCGGCUAUGAGUCAGGAGGAGAGGAGCACAGUGGAGUGACUGAAUGAGCGGCCAGCUGAGCUAGGGACAGAAGAGGCACAGCUGUAGCUGGGAAGCCCAGAGGCUUCAGAUGGAGAGGGCAUCAGCUGCAGCUGAUUAUCAGAGAUGGAUAAUAACUGCCUCUUCCUCCCAAUCUGAGAUCACAUAGGACUGAGAGGAGGCAGGCACAAUGAAAGUCAGCCAGGCUACCUGCAAGGCGGCAGCCUCACUCCUCUUGAUGGACUGUAUUGGGAAACAGCUAUUUAGCUCAGCGAGUGGAGUGAAACAACACUGGAAAUAAUGUGUCUGUUUCCUUGUUUCUUCAGCCUUCAUGAUUCUUGCCUUGGCACUCAAACUAGAUUCUGUACCUUGUGUUGUGGUCCGCCAGCAGCCUGCGGAGCUGGCAGCAGAGUCGGACAAUGAGGAGGAUGGGGAGGAACAUGGGCCAGUCCUGGAGUCUGGGGAAGGCUUGGACGAGGGCUCUGCACCAAAGGCAGAGAUGGGGCCACGGCCAUCUGGGAGAUAUGUGCAGACUCCGGAGCCUCUAGAGUCAGACAUCAGAGAGGCAGAGGAACAGGGGGAGCCUGUUCCUAGUGCACGCAUCCGCAGAGCUGCCAGAAGGCAAGAACAGCUAAAACAAAAGGACGACUCGGGAGUAAGGCUUGGAGAUGAUUGGCCCCUCCCAUAAGACAUAAAGGAAGAGCAAGGGCACGUGGGCCUUUGCAGGAAGCAA
Long non-coding RNA from Pantherophis guttatus, 1412 nucleotides. RefSeq lists it as uncharacterized. The record is from RefSeq and is a predicted model, not a curated record. NCBI's taxonomy places the organism in Eukaryota, Metazoa, Chordata, Lepidosauria, Squamata, Colubridae.